CUUGAGAAACCCAAAAGAUCGAAWGGAGAGAUUCAUCGUCAGCUCAUAUUGUAUAUGUAUAAUUUAUGAUACGAGUUACCUUUGGUUGUAUUGCUUGUACAUAUUUGUACAUUUAUUUGCAAUUUGUUGUCGGCGUGCACUUCUCUCCUAGUAGAACAUCGCGACCCGUUGAGUGUUGGUUUACGACCUAAAUGGUAGUCUUUAGUAUUUAAUAAUAUUAAAGACCAUUAUAGUGUUAUCUGACCGGCUGUUCAGCGGUACUCGUACGGUAUUUAGCCGCAUUUUUAUAUGCGUCCAUAUCCGUCGCAAGCGCGGCUAGUAUCAUGGUAGUACGGACUUAGUGCCGUCSCUAGUACUGGCCAGCUGUUGGUUGUAACGGUAUUCUAGGACUGGCUAAAAAUAAAAAAAUUAUUACCGGUCGGCGAUGCUACUGSUUUGGGUACUUUCAGGAMCCSUCUUGAAACACGGACCAAGGARUCUAACAUGUACSCSAGUCAUUGGGAUUUAUUUAAAAAUUAAACCUAAAGGCGUAAUGAAAGUAAAGGUUGUCUUUACSUCSACCAAGGGAGGAUAAAUUAUAUUAUGAUAUAAUUUCGCACUCCUGGGGCGUCUCAUUCUCAUUGUGAGAAGAGGCGCACCUAG
RNAcentral lists this ribosomal RNA (642 nucleotides) under Pedinotus columbianus. RNAcentral describes it as "eukaryotic LSU rRNA". It matches the Rfam family "Eukaryotic large subunit ribosomal RNA", at positions 386 to 798 of the family's 3401-position model. Lineage: Eukaryota; Metazoa; Arthropoda; Insecta; Hymenoptera; Braconidae. The record is from RNAcentral.